AGUGAACGCUGGCGGUAGGCCUAACACAUGCAAGUCGAACGGCAGCACAGUAAGAGCUUGCUCUUACGGGUGGCGAGUGGCGGACGGGUGAGGAAUACAUCGGAAUCUACUUUUUCGUGGGGGAUAACGUAGGGAAACUUACGCUAAUACCGCAUACGACCUACGGGUGAAAGCAGGGGAUCUUCGGACCUUGCGCGAUUGAAUGAGCCGAUGUCGGAUUAGCUAGUUGGCGGGGUAAAGGCCCACCAAGGCGACGAUCCGUAGCUGGUCUGAGAGGAUGAUCAGCCACACUGGAACUGAGACACGGUCCAGACUCCUACGGGAGGCAGCAGUGGGGAAUCUUGGCCAAUGGGCGCAAGCCUGAUCCAGCCCUACCGCGUGGGUGAAGAAGGCCUUCGGGUUGUAAAGCCCUUUUGUUGGGAAAGAAAAGCAGCAGGUUAAUACCCCGCUGUUCUGACGGUACCCAAAGAAUAAGCACCGGCUAACUUCGUG
This 492-nucleotide ribosomal RNA is filed under the name uncultured bacterium. RNAcentral describes it as "partial 16S ribosomal RNA". It matches the Rfam family "Bacterial small subunit ribosomal RNA", at positions 29 to 507 of the family's 1533-position model. The record is from RNAcentral.